CACCUCCCUCCUCUCUCUCUCUCUCUCUAGUUGGCCCUCUUUGUAGUCUUCCACAGCUUUCUUGAACUGCAUCCAUCCUUGAAAGGGAGGGGCUUCCAAUUGCAGUUCAAUAAAGCUGUGGGAAAUUACAGAGAGAGACCAAAGAAGCUGAAGAAGUUUAUCACCUCCAUUCAUCUCUUUAGAGUUGAUGGGAAUUUAUUCAUGGAUUUCUCUUUCGGUAGAGUUUACUUUCCAUCAGUACAAGUGAGUUAUAAUGCUCGGACUAUCUGAUGGUUUUUACCAUAUAAUGAAAGCUAUCAAAGAGAACAAUCCCAAGAUAUCCACAAAAAUAAAGCAGUCUUGUGGGAUAUGGCACAUCCCUCUCUCUCUCUCUCUCUCUCUCUCUCUCUACAACA
Elaeis guineensis (African oil palm) is the source of this 395-nucleotide long non-coding RNA. RefSeq lists it as uncharacterized. The record is from RefSeq and is a predicted model, not a curated record. NCBI's taxonomy places the organism in Eukaryota, Viridiplantae, Streptophyta, Magnoliopsida, Arecales, Arecaceae.